This is an RNA transcript of Raphanus sativus (radish), 1985 nucleotides long. RefSeq lists it as uncharacterized. The transcript is spliced from 7 exons. The record is from RefSeq and is a predicted model, not a curated record. NCBI's taxonomy places the organism in Eukaryota, Viridiplantae, Streptophyta, Magnoliopsida, Brassicales, Brassicaceae.
UCGUCUUCCUCGUUGCUUUUGUCGAGACAAGAAAUCAACGGACCGAUUGCUUCUCCGUUCUUCAACCAAGGAUUGAUCCAUGUCUUCUAUGUCUUCUCUACCAAAAUCUCAUGUAGCUCGUACGCUGCUCCUGGUCCUUAGUUUCAGAUUCUUUGUUGAAUACUGCUUUUGUUUUCAGAAGCUCUGAUUUGCUUCAUCCUUGAAAACCGACCAACAUCAUUACUCUUCGAUGGUUCCUAAACACCAGCUUCUCCCAACGGCGCACGUGAUUGUUCUCACUUCGAAUGUAGCAGGGUUUGAUCGCAGAGGUUUGUUACUUUGACUUCUUCACCAUAAUCGAACUCAGGACUGAUUCAUCUUCCUGUAACUCAUCACCUGUGAAAUUCGACCACCGAUGCGCAUCCUCCGGUCGAUUUUCAUCUCUUGAACCGUCUUCACAAAAGAAGAUCGCGACUUCUUCUUUCCUAAUGAUGAGAUAAUAUAAUUCUCUUGAACGGUGGUGAUGAAUCAACUUGAUCAAUCUGCUGGAACUUCUUCAAUUUCCGAGUGACUUACGCCCAACUUCUUCAGAUUCUUAGGCGUACCUUUGCUGCUUGAGAUCUUGAGAUACUUGUUUUCGACGACUCCAACACACCCACGAACCCCUUUUCAUUCAACUUCUUGAUACUCGUCUCCCUUCAGCCAUUUUUUUUCUUCUGUUUAAGACGUUCUCUCAGCUGCUCCACCUUUAGCUGAAACCCUUUGUCUCGCAUCCAUACUCACAGCUCUCUAGCUGAUUCCAAGCAAGAGCUCACAAGGUACCAAUCAGAAGGCAAUGAGAACAUGAACGAGAUGGGUCCAAUCCAUCACUGAUCAACAAUCACCAUCUUAAGUGUUUGAUCCAGAGCGUACCAAUCUGAAGGCAAUGAGAACAUGAUCCAGUCUCUUGAAGAGUGGUAUAACUUGUACGGCUCAGUACCCCGAUAGUCGUCCUACCAUGGCCGAUGUCACCAGAAUCAUCGAGGAGGUUUCACAUUCAUCGUCAAGCUCCCCAAAUCCUGUAUCUGACUGAGUUCUGUAUGGGGUCUUAAUUGAUUGUUUUCAAAAAUGUUUUGGGUUAAAAUUGCAAUUUCUUGAAUAGAUAUUGGCUGUGAGUAACGUUUACUUUUGUUUCCAUAACAAAUUCAAUUCCAUUUUUUUUUUUUUUGGAAACAUUAAAACAAAAAGGAAAGACAUCCUAUUUAAAAGCCGUAAAAGGAUUUAGUGCAUCUUAAUAAUUAAUCAGUCACGAUCAAACUUUUUUUUUUUCUCGAGGUCUUCUUCUCUCUCGACCAAACGGUGCAGCCCCUAUCCCUGCUUGACAUGCGUGAAAUAUGCGUCUUAUGGAACGUCGAGGAAUGCCCAAACUGGGACAAAAGAUUUCAGGGUGCGGUUAAUGCCUUCUUGGCUUAUACUGAUACCCAACCUUCGCCUGAAUUGAUGGAUGGGUUGCCGACCUUCCUAACCAGAGGAGAUAAAGAUACAAUAGCUAAUACUAUUGUACAUCACAUUCUUAUAUGGGCACGGAAGAAUCCAGAACCAUCAGUAUCAACUUUGAUGUUAAUCUCUGAUAAUCUCUCAGAGGAAACCCUCACUGCUUGUCUCGCUUUGAAAGUGAGAGGUUACAGUUUUCUCUUAUUAAAUUCUGAUGAAUCGGUUGAAGAUGCUAGCCUGGAAUAUCUUAGCACAAGGCUAAUGGAGAUUCAGAAAAACUCUCUUACUUGAAGGGGAAGAAACUAUAAACUAUGGAUGCAGAUGAGGGGCUUAUAAUAAUCUUUGUUUUUUAAGUCCUUUAUUCUCGCUGUCAAGAGGCUUUGGUUAUGUGUUUCAAAUACAUUUGGGGCUAUAUCCUUGAUAUGUUAUAUUUGAUUUCUGUUUUGUUCUUGUAUCUGUGGGAGAGAGAGACACGUCUCUUAGUUCUUGUUUCUUAAUUAUUCUAUUUAACCAGUGUUGUUUUGUUUAGACUG